Molecule: ribosomal RNA, 492 nt
Filed under: uncultured bacterium
Lineage: Bacteria
Description: partial 16S ribosomal RNA
Rfam family: Bacterial small subunit ribosomal RNA
Source: RNAcentral
AUUGAACGCUGGCGGCAUGCUUUACACAUGCAAGUCGAACGGUAACAGGCCUUCGGGUGCUGACGAGUGGCGAACGGGUGAGUAAUGCAUCGGAACGUACCCAGAGGUGGGGGAUAACGCAGCGAAAGCUGUGCUAAUACCGCAUGUGAUCUGAGGAUGAAAACGGGGGACCGAGCAGCAAUGUUUGGCCUCGCGCCUUUGGAGCGGCCGAUGUCGGAUUAGCUAGUUGGUGGGGUAAAGGCCUACCAAGGCGACGAUCCGUAGCUGGUCUGAGAGGACGACCAGCCACACUGGGACUGAGACACGGCCCAGACUCCUACGGGAGGCAGCAGUGGGGAAUUUUGGACAAUGGGCGCAAGCCUGAUCCAGCAAUGCCGCGUGCGGGAAGAAGGCCUUCGGGUUGUAAACCGCUUUUGGCAGGAACGAAACGGUGUCCGCUAAUACCGGGCGCUAAUGACGGUACCUGCAGAAUAAGCACCGGCUAACUACGUG